AUGUGCAGUAGGACUGCAUGGUGUGUGCAGAUGUAGUGAAGCUGUGUCCUGAUUUGAUCCUGGCUCUGAUUGCUGUGUAAGCCCAUGUUGAAGAGGAAAUUCAACCCCUGUUUGCGCCAGAGUAGUCAGCCGUCGACCUUCCCAGUGUCUCCUUAAUCAGGGCCCCUGGUUGAGCAAGACAAGGUGCCAGGCUGAUGCUUUGCCUCAACCAGCCCAUCCAUAUCAUCUGGCCUAAACUGGACUCAACCAUAGCUUUAUGUGAAAUGCAGCGGGAGGAGCUGCGGGGAGUACGUGUUGGAUCCACUUCUUUGCAUGCAGUGUGGUAGGCCCAAAUGUGGUGGUCACAGGAGUGCCUGGAACUCAAGCC
Molecule: non-coding RNA, 367 nt
Organism: Plectropomus leopardus (leopard coralgrouper)
Lineage: Eukaryota; Metazoa; Chordata; Actinopteri; Perciformes; Serranidae
Source: RefSeq, a predicted model, not a curated record